GUGCUCGCUUCGGCAGCACACAUACUAAAAU
Molecule: small nuclear RNA, 31 nt
Filed under: Cervus elaphus hippelaphus
Lineage: Eukaryota; Metazoa; Chordata; Mammalia; Artiodactyla; Cervidae
Source: RNAcentral